This 88-nucleotide transfer RNA is filed under the name Elusimicrobia bacterium GWA2_61_42. RNAcentral's name for it is "tRNA-Ser". It matches the Rfam family "tRNA". From Rfam's summary of the family: Transfer RNA (tRNA) molecules are approximately 80 nucleotides in length. Their secondary structure includes four short double-helical elements and three loops (D, anti-codon, and T loops). Further hydrogen bonds mediate the characteristic L-shaped molecular structure. tRNAs have two regions of fundamental functional importance: the anti-codon, which is responsible for specific mRNA codon recognition, and the 3' end, to which the tRNAs corresponding amino acid is attached (by aminoacyl-tRNA synthetases). tRNAs cope with the degeneracy of the genetic code in two manners: having more than one tRNA (with a specific anti-codon) for a particular amino acid; and 'wobble' base-pairing, i.e. permitting non-standard base-pairing at the 3rd anti-codon position. RNAcentral also lists the same sequence under 4 other names. Lineage: Bacteria; Pseudomonadati; Elusimicrobiota. The record is from RNAcentral.
GGAGAGGUGUGUGAGCGGUUGAAACAGCAGGUCUCGAAAACCUGUAAGGGUCAAACCUUCGAGGGUUCGAAUCCCUCCCUCUCCGCCA